RNAcentral lists this ribosomal RNA (992 nucleotides) under metagenome. RNAcentral describes it as "bacterial SSU rRNA". It matches the Rfam family "Bacterial small subunit ribosomal RNA", at positions 8 to 991 of the family's 1533-position model. The record is from RNAcentral.
AGAGUUUGAUCCUGGCUCAGGAUGAACGCUAGCUACAGGCUUAACACAUGCAAGUCGAGGGGAAACGGCAUUGAGUGCUUGCACUCUUUGGACGUCGACCGGCGCACGGGUGAGUAACGCGUAUCCAACCUUCCCAUUACUGUGGGAUAACCUGCCGAAAGGCAGACUAAUACCGCAUAGUCUUCGAUGACGGCAUCAGAUUUGAAGUAAAGAUUUAUCGGUAAUGGAUGGGGAUGCGUCUGAUUAGCUUGUUGGCGGGGUAACGGCCCACCAAGGCAACGAUCAGUAGGGGUUCUGAGAGGAAGGUCCCCCACAUUGGAACUGAGACACGGUCCAAACUCCUACGGGAGGCAGCAGUGAGGAAUAUUGGUCAAUGGACGGAAGUCUGAACCAGCCAAGUAGCGUGCAGGAUGACGGCCCUAUGGGUUGUAAACUGCUUUUGUAUGGGGAUAAAGUUAGGGACGUGUCCCUAUUUGCAGGUACCAUACGAAUAAGGACCGGCUAAUUCCGUGCCAGCAGCCGCGGUAAUACGGAAGGUCCAGGCGUUAUCCGGAUUUAUUGGGUUUAAAGGGAGCGUAGGCCGGAGAUUAAGUGUGUUGUGAAAUGUAGACGCUCAACGUCUGAAUUGCAGCGCAUACUGGUUUCCUUGAGUACGCACAACGUUGGCGGAAUUCGUCGUGUAGCGGUGAAAUGCUUAGAUAUGACGAAGAACUCCGAUUGCGAAGGCAGCUGACGGGAGCGCAACUGACGCUUAAGCUCGAAGGUGCGGGUAUCAAACAGGAUUAGAUACCCUGGUAGUCCGCACAGUAAACGAUGGAUGCCCGCUGUUGGUACCUGGUAUCAGCGGCUAAGCGAAAGCAUUAAGCAUCCCACCUGGGGAGUACGCCGGCAACGGUGAAACUCAAAGGAAUUGACGGGGGCCCGCACAAGCGGAGGAACAUGUGGUUUAAUUCGAUGAUACGCGAGGAACCUUACCCGGGCUUGAAUUGCAG